RNAcentral lists this ribosomal RNA (222 nucleotides) under uncultured bacterium. RNAcentral's name for it is "partial 16S ribosomal RNA". It matches the Rfam family "Bacterial small subunit ribosomal RNA", at positions 1277 to 1500 of the family's 1533-position model. The record is from RNAcentral.
UAAACGUCUCAGUUCGGAUUGUAGUCUGCAACCCGACUACAUGAAGCUGGAAUCGCUAGUAAUCGCGGAUCAGAAUGCCGCGGUGAAUACGUUCCCGGGUCUUGUACACACCGCCCGUCACACCAUGGGAGUUGGUAACGCCCGAAGUCAGUGACCCAACCAAAUAGGAGGGAGCUGCCGAAGGCGGGACUGAUAACUGGGGUGAAGUCGUAACAAGGUAUC